UCUUGGUGGUGGCAGCAGCAGCCUUAGUGUCUCAUACCCGUCUCUGCGGUCGGCACUGAUAGCCGCGGCUCACGCCCAUCUCUGGAGCUCAUUUAGGCGGUGAUAUGAAUCCUCUCUCCUCGUGCACCAGGAAACAAAGAGGCAAGAAAAAGUCUCUUUCCUGUUCGGCAGCUCCAAACCUUUUCCUGGACUCCCUCCCAGCUUGCUGUGGUGCACUAAACCCUUCAGUCUGUGUUCACGCAGCCAACCCCAGUCCUCUCCCUGGGAUCUGACCUCGGAAGCCAGAGCCUCAGCUCCUAGCUCUCGCCCGCCCCAGCGGGUGAGCAGACAAGCCUCUCGGACUGCAUCUCCCAGGCUCUCCAUGCCCAGGCCGAGGAUUGUUCCCAACCACUGGCUGCAUUUUGCCUCAGCAAGUCUUGCACAUGACUUACCUUUCCAAGAAAGAAGCACUUCCCCACAGUCUACUCUGGGCUGCAGGUUCCUAGUCCAGAGUGUUCCUUAAAUAUUAGACUUCUGACCCAUAAUUGUGGCUAGAAGUGGUUCACAUCAAAAUCGGACAGGCUCCUGGACCAUCAAACUGAAAAGCAGGACCCUACUUGAGAUGCACAUUACUAACAGUGAAGAAAAAAAGUGUAUUUAUAGUGUAUUUAUUUAUUUAUAUUUGUAAAAUAUGACUGAGAAUGCAAAAAAAAUCACAUUAAUAAAAAUAGAAAAAAGUCUUGAA
Balaenoptera ricei (Rice's whale) is the source of this 724-nucleotide long non-coding RNA. RefSeq lists it as uncharacterized. NCBI's taxonomy places the organism in Eukaryota, Metazoa, Chordata, Mammalia, Artiodactyla, Balaenopteridae. The transcript is spliced from 3 exons. The record is from RefSeq and is a predicted model, not a curated record.